UCAGAACUUAUGAUAUUAAAAUGUUCCAGAUGCUUCAGGCCUCUGGUUGACUCUCACAAACGUAAAAUCUGGAAGAGGCCCAGAUCAGGAACUUCUGCCUACAUCAGACCUGGAGUUGGCGGUGUUCAGACUUCCGUGGGAAAUCGCUACCAACUUUCAUUCUCCAUUCUUGUACGUACACACAUGUGGAACCUGGAUGUAAUGGCUGAGAUCUGUCAUUUGCAUGGAUCACCCUGGAAUAAAUUAAUGGCAUUUGCUUUCAACACCCAUGUCUGCAAAUCGGCAA
Molecule: non-coding RNA, 286 nt
Organism: Mus caroli (Ryukyu mouse)
Lineage: Eukaryota; Metazoa; Chordata; Mammalia; Rodentia; Muridae
Source: RefSeq, a predicted model, not a curated record